CUGGCCGCCGGCCGCUCCUCCGCGCGCUGUUCCGCACUUGCUGCCCUCGCCCGGCCCGGAGCGCCGCUGCCAUGCGGCUGGCGCUGCUCUGGGCCCUGGGGCUCCUGGGCGCGGGCAGCCCUCUGCCUUCCUGGCCGCUCCCAAAUAUAGGUGGCACUGAGGAGCAGCAGGCAGAGUCAGAGAAGGCCCCGAGGGAGCCCUUGGAGCCCCAGGUCCUUCAGGACGAUCUCCCAAUUAGCCUCAAAAAGGUGCUUCAGACCAGUCUGCCUGAGCCCCUGAGGAUCAAGUUGGAGCUGGACGGUGACAGUCAUAUCCUGGAGCUGCUACAGAAUAGGGAGUUGGUCCCAGGCCGCCCAACCCUGGUGUGGUACCAGCCCGAUGGCACUCGGGUGGUCAGUGAGGGACACACUUUGGAGAACUGCUGCUACCAGGGAAGAGUGCGGGGAUAUGCAGGCUCCUGGGUGUCCAUCUGCACCUGCUCUGGGCUCAGAGGCUUGGUGGUCCUGACCCCAGAGAGAAGCUAUACCCUGGAGCAGGGGCCUGGGGACCUUCAGGGUCCUCCCAUUAUUUCGCGAAUCCAAGAUCUCCACCUGCCAGGCCACACCUGUGCCCUGAGCUGGCGGGAAUCUGUACACACUCAGAAGCCACCAGAGCACCCCCUGGGACAGCGCCACAUUCGCCGGAGGCGGGAUGUGGUAACAGAGACCAAGACUGUGGAGUUGGUGAUUGUGGCUGAUCACUCGGAGGCCCAGAAAUACCGGGACUUCCAGCACCUGCUAAACCGCACACUGGAAGUGGCCCUCUUGCUGGACACAUUCUUCCGGCCCCUGAAUGUACGAGUGGCACUAGUGGGCCUGGAGGCCUGGACCCAGCGUGACCUGGUGGAGAUCAGCCCAAACCCAGCUGUCACCCUCGAAAACUUCCUCCACUGGCGCAGGGCACAUUUGCUGCCUCGAUUGCCCCAUGACAGUGCCCAGCUGGUGACUGGUACUUCAUUCUCUGGGCCUACGGUGGGCAUGGCCAUUCAGAACUCCAUCUGUUCUCCUGACUUCUCAGGAGGUGUGAACAUGGACCACUCCACCAGCAUCCUGGGAGUCGCCUCCUCCAUAGCCCAUGAGUUGGGCCACAGCCUGGGCCUGGACCAUGAUUUGCCUGGGAAUAGCUGCCCCUGUCCAGGUCCAGCCCCAGCCAAGACCUGCAUCAUGGAGGCCUCCACAGACUUCCUACCAGGCCUGAACUUCAGCAACUGCAGCCGACGGGCCCUGGAGAAAGCCCUCCUGGAUGGAAUGGGCAGCUGCCUCUUCGAACGGCUGCCUAGCCUACCCCCUAUGGCUGCUUUCUGCGGAAAUAUGUUUGUGGAGCCGGGCGAGCAGUGUGACUGUGGCUUCCUGGAUGACUGCGUCGAUCCCUGCUGUGAUUCUUUGACCUGCCAGCUGAGGCCAGGUGCACAGUGUGCAUCUGACGGACCCUGUUGUCAAAAUUGCCAGCUGCGCCCGUCUGGCUGGCAGUGUCGUCCUACCAGAGGGGAUUGUGACUUGCCUGAAUUCUGCCCAGGAGACAGCUCCCAGUGUCCCCCUGAUGUCAGCCUAGGGGAUGGCGAGCCCUGCGCUGGCGGGCAAGCUGUGUGCAUGCACGGGCGUUGUGCCUCCUAUGCCCAGCAGUGCCAGUCACUUUGGGGACCUGGAGCCCAGCCCGCUGCGCCACUUUGCCUCCAGACAGCUAAUACUCGGGGAAAUGCUUUUGGGAGCUGUGGGCGCAACCCCAGUGGCAGUUAUGUGUCCUGCACCCCUAGAGAUGCCAUUUGUGGGCAGCUCCAGUGCCAGACAGGUAGGACCCAGCCUCUGCUGGGCUCCAUCCGGGAUCUACUCUGGGAGACAAUAGAUGUGAAUGGGACUGAGCUGAACUGCAGCUGGGUGCACCUGGACCUGGGCAGUGAUGUGGCCCAGCCCCUCCUGACUCUGCCUGGCACAGCCUGUGGCCCUGGCCUGGUGUGUAUAGACCAUCGAUGCCAGCGUGUGGAUCUCCUGGGGGCACAGGAAUGUCGAAGCAAAUGCCAUGGACAUGGGGUCUGUGACAGCAACAGGCACUGCUACUGUGAGGAGGGCUGGGCACCCCCUGACUGCACCACUCAGCUCAAAGCAACCAGCUCCCUGACCACAGGGCUGCUCCUCAGCCUCCUGGUCUUAUUGGUCCUGGUGAUGCUUGGUGCCAGCUACUGGUACCGUGCCCGCCUGCACCAGCGACUCUGCCAGCUCAAGGGACCCACCUGCCAGUACAGGGCAGCCCAAUCUGGUCCCUCUGAACGGCCAGGACCUCCGCAGAGGGCCCUGCUGGCACGAGGCACUAAGUCUCAGGGGCCAGCCAAGCCCCCACCCCCAAGGAAGCCACUGCCUGCCGACCCCCAGGGCCGGUGCCCAUCGGGUGACCUGCCCGGCCCAGGGGCUGGAAUCCCGCCCCUAGUGGUACCCUCCAGACCAGCGCCACCGCCUCCGACAGUGUCCUCGCUCUACCUCUGACCUCUCCGGAGGUUCCGCUGCCUCCAAGCCGGACUUAGGGCUUCAAGAGGCGGGCGUGCCCUCUGGAGUCCCCUACCAUGACUGAAGGCGCCAGAGACUGGCGGUGUCUUAAGACUCCGGGCACCGCCACGCGCUGUCAAGCAACACUCUGCGGACCUGCCGGCGUAGUUGCAGCGGGGGCUUGGGGAGGGGCUGGGGGUUGGACGGGAUUGAGGAAGGUCCGCACAGCCUGUCUCUGCUCAGUUGCAAUAAACGUGACAUCUUGGGAGCGUUCCCCAGAGUUUGUCUGCUUCUAGAACCCGGGUCGCUCCUGCUGCGGUUCCAGGUUUGGCCGCCAGAAGACGCUGCCGCCUCAGACGAGGGCGGGCUGUGUGGGGCGGGAGUACCAGAAAGGGUCGGCGUGUGUCCCCGGGAUGCUCGCAGCUUCCCUCUGCCCAGACUGGGGUGGCUUUCGGCGCAAUCUGUCAAGCUGUUGGACCUGCCGUCCCCACUCUGACCAUUGGCUGGGAAAAGUGGAUCUGGCUGAUGCUCCCAGAGCCCAGGAGCCAGGGCGGAGCGGGGCGGCGGCUGCUCCCACGAUCCCAAGGCCGCGCACCUGCCUCCUCCCCCUCCGCCGCCGCCACCUGAGGGAUCGGGAACAAAGGUGCUUUGUACAGGCCGCAACCACCUCAUUACUUCGUCUUAGGGACUGGGGCCGCGUGGGCCCCCAGCCCGGAACGAAGGUGUGGAGCGGCAAGGGACAGACGCCAAUCCUAAACGGGCCGGGACCUGCCAGGCCAGACCAAACCGGACCUCGGGGGCGAUGCGGCUGCUGCCCCUGCUGCGGACUGUCCUCUGGGCCGCGUUCCUCGGCUCCCCUCUGCGCGGGGGCUCCAGCCUCCGCCACGUAGUCUACUGGAACUCCAGUAACCCCAGUGUCAGCCCUGCCCUUCUAGCCGAAUCACCUCUGGGCAAGUCUCGUGACCUUCCUAACCUCAUUUAUCUCACCUGUAUAAUGGGCUAAUAAUACCUAGUACCCUGGGAAGUCUGGCAGGGUUGCUUCGAGGAGACGCCGUGGUGGAGCUGGGCCUCAACGAUUACCUAGACAUUGUCUGCCCCCACUACGAAGGCCCAGGGCCCCCUGAGGGCCCCGAGACGUUUGCUUUGUACAUGGUGGACUGGCCAGGCUAUGAGUCCUGCCAGGCAGAGGGCCCCCGGGCCUACAAGCGCUGGGUGUGCUCCCUGCCCUUUGGCCAUGUUCAAUUCUCAGAGAAGAUUCAGCGCUUCACACCCUUCUCCCUCGGCUUUGAGUUCUUACCUGGAGAGACUUACUACUACAUCUCGGUGCCCACUCCAGAGAGUUCUGGCCAGUGCUUGAGGCUCCAGGUGUCUGUCUGCUGCAAGGAGAGGAAGUCUGAGUCAGCCCAUCCUGUUGGGAGCCCUGGAGAGAGUGGCACAUCAGGGUGGCGAGGGGGGGACACUCCCAGCCCCCUCUGUCUCUUGCUAUUACUGCUGCUUCUGAUUCUUCGUCUUCUGCGAAUUCUGUGAGCCAAGCAGACCUUCCCUCUCAUCCCAAGGAGCCAGAGUCCUCCCAAGAUCCCCUGGAGGAGGAGGGAUCCCUGCUGCCUGCACUGGGGGUGCCAAUUCAGACCGACAAGAUGGAGCAUUGAUGGGGGAGAUCAGAGGGUCUGAGGUGACUCUUGCAGGAGCCUGUCCCCUCAUCACAGGCUAAAGAAGAGCAGUAGACAGCCCUGGACACUCUGAAGCAGAGGCAAGACAAACACAGGCGCUUUGCAGGCUGCUCUGAGGGUCUCAGCCCAUCCCCCAGGAGGACUGGGAUUUGGUAUGAUCAAAUCCUCAAGCCAGCUGGGGGCCCAGGCUGAAGACCUGGGGACAGGUCGAUUGCUGGACCAGGGCAAAGAAGAAGCCCUGCCAUCUGUGCCCUGUGGGCCUUUUCCCUGGGGCAGCACCUUGCCCUCCCCAGGGGAUCACUCACUUGUCUUCUAUGAAGACGGACUCUUCAUGAGGUUGAAUUUCAUGCCAGUUUGUAUUUUUAUAAGUAUCUAGACCAAACCUUCAAUAAACCACUCAUCUUUUUGUUGCCCUCCCCAA
This is a long non-coding RNA of Homo sapiens (human), 4607 nucleotides long. RefSeq annotates it as ADAM15-EFNA4 readthrough. NCBI's taxonomy places the organism in Eukaryota, Metazoa, Chordata, Mammalia, Primates, Hominidae. The record is from RefSeq and is marked validated. The transcript is spliced from 26 exons.